This 694-nucleotide ribosomal RNA is filed under the name uncultured bacterium. RNAcentral describes it as "bacterial SSU rRNA". It matches the Rfam family "Bacterial small subunit ribosomal RNA", at positions 111 to 803 of the family's 1533-position model. The record is from RNAcentral.
UAACACGUAUGGAACCUGCCCGUAGCAGGGGGAUAAGCGGAAGAAAUUCCGUCUAAUACCGCGUAAUAACUCCGAGAGGCAUCUCAUGGAGUUUAAAGGGUAACACCGGCUACGGAUGGCCAUGCGGCGCAUUAGCUAGUUGGCGGGGUAACGGCCCACCAAGGCGACGAUGCGUAGGGGUUCUGAGAGGAAGGUCCCCCACACUGGUACUGAGACACGGACCAGACUCCUACGGGAGGCAGCAGUGAGGAAUAUUGGUCAAUGGGCGCGAGCCUGAACCAGCCAAGUCGCGUGAGGGAAGACGGUCCUUUGGAUUGUAAACCUCUUUUGUCGGGGAGCAAAAGACGCCACGCGUGGCGUUCCGAGAGUACCCGAAGAAAAAGCAUCGGCUAACUCCGUGCCAGCAGCCGCGGUAAUACGGAGGAUGCGAGCGUUAUCCGGAUUUAUUGGGUUUAAAGGGUGCGCAGGCGGAAGAUCAAGUCAGCGGUAAAAUUGAGAGGCUCAACCUCUUCGAGCCGUUGAAACUGGUUUUCUUGAGUGAGCGAGAAGUAUGCGGAAUGCGUGGUGUAGCGGUGAAAUGCAUAGAUAUCACGCAGAACUCCGAUUGCGAAGGCAGCAUACCGGCGCUCAACUGACGCUCAUGCACGNNGUGUGGGUAUCGAACAGGAUUAGAUACCCUGGUAGUCCACACAGU